CGUUGGAUCCGAAUGUGCACGCUCAAUUAUGCUGUGGGUCAGACUCUGGGGAAUCCACAACUUCCAUUCGAAGCCUUCCACCUCGUCAUCCAGAUUUGCGGAAGAGACUCUCUUGAAGAUGAGACCAUCCACUAUCCUCAAGUCAGCCGAGCAACUCUGACGGGUCCACCGUUAGCUCUUCAACACAACGCGAAAGGGUAUCUGCCACAACGUUCUCGCUUCCUUUCCUGUGUUCGAUGUUGAAGUCAUAUCCCUGGAGUUGCAAUGACCACCGAGCCAGCCGACCCGAAAGGUCUUUCAUGGACAUGAGCCACUUCAAGCUGGCAUGAUCGGUGAUGCACGUGAACGGCAUUCCUUCCACAUACGGCCGGAACUUUCGAAUGGCCAGCAGGGCUGCGAGGCAUUCUUUUUCAGAAACGGUGUAAUGGACUUGGUGACGAUUCAUCUUGGCCGAGAAGAACGCUAUUGGUUGCUCCUGGCCGUCUUCAUGCCGCUGGAACAACACUGCACCGACUCCGAUCUGGGAUGCAUCGCACUGGAUGAAAAAGUGCCGCUUGAAGUCCGCAUGUACCAGCACUGGCGCAGUAGUUAGGGCCAUCUUCAGGGACUCUACUGCCAGCUGUGCUUCUGGACUCAAGGAAAACUUCUUAUUUCCCGUCUUCUUCAAGGAUUCCGUGAGCGGGGCAGCCAAAGUUGCGAAGUUCUUUAUGAACCGACGGUACCAACCAGCGGUUCCAAGAAAGGCUCUCACUUCCUUCAUGGUCCUUGGCUCAGGCAUCCGCCUAAUAGCUGCUACACGCCCUGGAUCCAUCCGCAGACGUCCUCCACCCACUAUGAAGCCGAGGCAUUCAGCGACUCGGCGAAGAUACUUCAAGUGGGUUCUUAUGUCAGGCGCUAGUAUUAGCAGAUCAUCCAAGUAGACGAACACAUUCGAGCGGAUUUCAGCUGGAAUUACUCGGUCCAUGAGUCUCACCAGCCUCUGUGAUGCGUUACAGAGUCCGAAAGGCAUCACACGGAACUGGUAAAGAGGCCGACCAGGAACCGUAAAGGCUGUGUAUUCCUUGCUGCUCGUGUCCAACUCAAUCUGCCAAAAAGCGAACUUCAAAUCCACGCUGGAAAUGUAGUACGUUUGGUCAAUUCUGGACAGGAUGCCGUCUAUGCUGGGCAACGGAUCUUGAUACUACGGUGGUGCGGUUGCUCCAGGGGCUUUUGCUCUCCUCGAUGACUCCGAGCGCUAGCAUCUUGUCGACCUCGUCCUCGAAUACCGUCUGCUUCGCGGGAGACAUCGGAUAGGGUCGAUCCUUGAACACUUUGGCUCCGUCCAUCAGCUCAAUAGUGUGCUU
Long non-coding RNA from Drosophila gunungcola (fruit fly), 1343 nucleotides. RefSeq lists it as uncharacterized. The record is from RefSeq and is a predicted model, not a curated record. The transcript is spliced from 4 exons. Lineage: Eukaryota; Metazoa; Arthropoda; Insecta; Diptera; Drosophilidae.